This 234-nucleotide ribosomal RNA is filed under the name Triticum aestivum (bread wheat). Its description in RNAcentral is "partial small subunit ribosomal RNA". Lineage: Eukaryota; Viridiplantae; Streptophyta; Magnoliopsida; Poales; Poaceae. The record is from RNAcentral.
AUGUCUGGCACUAAGGUGGAGUUGGUGUGUUGGAAUGUGAGGGGCCUCAAUAGCCCGGCAAAGAAAAAGGCUUUGAGGGAGUUUGUAGAUUCGGUUAAGGCCACUAUUAUUUGUAUUCAGGAGACAAAAUUAGCAGUUGUAGACCGCUAUAUCACCAUGCAAUGUUUAGGUCCGUCUUAUGAUGGUUUUGCUUACCUCCCGGCUAAUGGGACACGUGGAGGGAUUUUGGUGGCG